RNAcentral lists this ribosomal RNA (274 nucleotides) under uncultured bacterium. RNAcentral's name for it is "partial 16S ribosomal RNA". It matches the Rfam family "Bacterial small subunit ribosomal RNA", at positions 523 to 796 of the family's 1533-position model. The record is from RNAcentral.
AUACGGAGGGUCCAAGCGUUAUCCGGAAUCAUUGGGUUUAAAGGGUCCGCAGGCGGUCAAUUAAGUCAGAGGUGAAAGCCCAUCGCUCAACGAUGGAACUGCCUUUGAUACUGGUUGACUUGAGUUAUACGGAAGUAGAUAGAAUAAGUAGUGUAGCGGUGAAAUGCAUAGAUAUUACUUAGGAUACCGAUUGCGAAGGCAGUCUACUACGUAUAUACUGACGCUGAGGGACGAAAGCGUGGGGAGCGAACAGGAUUAGAAACCCUAGUAGUCC